UACGGAGGGGGCUAGCGUUGUUCGGAAUUACUGGGCGUAAAGCGCACGUAGGCGGCUUUGUAAGUUAGAGGUGAAAGCCCGGGGCUCAACUCCGGAAUUGCCUUUAAGACUGCAUCGCUAGAAUUGUGGAGAGGUAAGUGGAAUUCCGAGUGUAGAGGUGAAAUUCGUAGAGAUCCGGAGGAACACCAGCGGCGAAGGCGGCAUCCUGGACUGGUACUGACGCUCAUGAGCGAAAGCGUGGGGAGCGAGCCGG
Molecule: ribosomal RNA, 253 nt
Filed under: uncultured bacterium
Lineage: Bacteria
Description: partial 16S ribosomal RNA
Rfam family: Bacterial small subunit ribosomal RNA
Source: RNAcentral